CCUACGGGAGGCAGCAGUGAGGAAUAUUGGUCAAUGGGCGCGAGCCUGAACCAGCCAAGUAGCGUGAAGGAUGAAGGCCCAACGGGUUGUAAACUUCUUUUAUAAAGGAAUAAAGUGAGGCACGUGUGCCUUUUUGUAUGUACUUUAUGAAUAAGGAUCGGCUAACUCCGUGCCAGCAGCCGCGGUAAUACGGAGGAUCCGAGCGUUAUCCGGAUUUAUUGGGUUUAAAGGGUGCGUAGAUGGGUUGUUAAGUCAGUUGUGAAAGUUUGCGGCUCAACCGUAAAAUUGCAAUUGAUACUGGCAGUCUUGAGUACAGUUGAGGUAGGCGGAAUUCGUGGUGUAGCUGUGAAAUGCUUAGCUAUCACGAAGAACUCCGAUUGCGAAGGCAGCCUACUAGACUGCCACUGACAUUGAUGCUCGAAAGUGUGGGUAUCAAACAGGAUUAGAUACCCUAGUAGUC
This 460-nucleotide ribosomal RNA is filed under the name uncultured bacterium. RNAcentral's name for it is "partial 16S ribosomal RNA". It matches the Rfam family "Bacterial small subunit ribosomal RNA", at positions 338 to 795 of the family's 1533-position model. The record is from RNAcentral.